This 274-nucleotide ribosomal RNA is filed under the name uncultured bacterium. RNAcentral describes it as "partial 16S ribosomal RNA". It matches the Rfam family "Bacterial small subunit ribosomal RNA", at positions 523 to 796 of the family's 1533-position model. The record is from RNAcentral.
CUACGAAGGGGGCUAGCGUUGUUCGGAAUUACUGGGCGUAAAGCGCACGUAGGCGGAUUGAUAAGUUAGGGGUGAAAUCCCGAGGCUCAACCUCGGAACUGCCUUUAAUACUGUUAGUCUCGAGUCCGGAAGAGGUGAGCGGAAUUCCUAGUGUAGAGGUGGAAUUCGUAGAUAUUAGGAAGAACACCAGUGGCGAAGGCGGCUCACUGGUCCGGAUCUGACGCUGAGGUGCGAAAGCGUGGGGAGCAAACAGGAUUAGAAACCCUAGUAGUCC